UACGGAGGGUGCAAGCGUUAUCCGGAUUCACUGGGUUUAAAGGGUGCGUAGGUGGACAAGUAAGUCAGUGGUGAAAUCUCCGGGCUUAACCCGGAAACUGCCAUUGAUACUAUUUGUCUUGAAUACUGUGGAGGUCAGCGGAAUAUGUCAUGUAGCGGUGAAAUGCUUAGAUAUGACAUAGAACACCAAUUGCGAAGGCAGCUGGCUACACAAAUAUUGACACUGAGGCACGAAAGCGUGGGGAUCAAACAGG
Molecule: ribosomal RNA, 253 nt
Filed under: uncultured bacterium
Lineage: Bacteria
Description: partial 16S ribosomal RNA
Rfam family: Bacterial small subunit ribosomal RNA
Source: RNAcentral